Molecule: ribosomal RNA, 270 nt
Filed under: uncultured bacterium
Lineage: Bacteria
Description: partial 16S ribosomal RNA
Rfam family: Bacterial small subunit ribosomal RNA
Source: RNAcentral
CCCGCCGGCGACCGGCGCACGGGUGAGUAACACGUAUGGAACCUGCCCGCAGCAGGGGGAUAAGCGGAAGAAAUUCCGUCUAAUACCGCGUAACACCGCGGAGGGGCAUCCCUCGGCGGUUAAAGAUUCAUCGGCUGCGGAUGGCCAUGCGGCGCAUUAGCUAGUCGGCGGGGUAACGGCCCACCGAGGCGACGAUGCGUAGGGGUUCUGAGAGGAAGGUCCCCCACACUGGUACUGAGACACGGUCCAAACUCCUACGGAAGGCAGCAG